GACUGCUAUACCGCAUACGACAUUUUCUGGCAUCAGAGGAUGUUAAAAGGUCCGUUUGGAUCACUAAUGGAUGAGGGUGCGGCGUAUUAGCUAGUUGGUGGGGUAAUGGCCUACCAAGGCAAUGAUACGUAGCCGAACUGAGAGGUUGAUCGGCCACAUCGGGACUGAGACACGGCCCGAACUCCUACGGGAGGCAGCAGUAGGGAAUUUUUCACAAUGGGCGAAAGCCUGAUGGAGCAAUGCCGCGUGACUGAAGACGGUCUUCGGAUUGUAAAGGUCUGUUGUAAGGGAAGAACAGUAAGUAUAGGAAAUGAUACUUAUUUGACGGUACCUUACCAGAAAGCCACGGCUAACUAUGUGCCAGCAGCCGCGGUAAUACAUAGGUGGCAAGCGUUAUCCGGAUUUAUUGGGCGUAAAGCGUGCGCAGACGGUUUAGCAAGUUUGGGGUUAAAACCUGGAGCUCAACUCCAGGUCGCCUUGAAAACUGUUAGGCUAGAGUGUAGGAGAGGUUGAUGGAAUUCCAUGUGUAGCGGUGAAAUGCGUAGAUAUAUGGAGGAACACCAGUGGCGAAGGCGAUCAACCGGCCUAUUACUGACGUUUAGGCACGAAAGCGUGGGGAGCAAAUAGGAUUAGAUACCCUAGUAGUCCACGCCGUAAACGAUGAGUACUAAGUGUCGGACUAAGUCGGUGCUGCAG
This 696-nucleotide ribosomal RNA is filed under the name Spiroplasma sp. 301. RNAcentral describes it as "bacterial SSU rRNA". It matches the Rfam family "Bacterial small subunit ribosomal RNA", at positions 159 to 851 of the family's 1533-position model. Lineage: Bacteria; Bacillati; Mycoplasmatota; Mollicutes; Entomoplasmatales; Spiroplasmataceae. The record is from RNAcentral.